Molecule: ribosomal RNA, 620 nt
Filed under: Bacillus cereus
Lineage: Bacteria; Bacillati; Bacillota; Bacilli; Caryophanales; Bacillaceae
Also listed under: 2 other names
Description: bacterial LSU rRNA
Rfam family: Bacterial large subunit ribosomal RNA
Source: RNAcentral
CCAAAGGUUCCCUCAGAAUGGUUGGAAAUCAUUCGUAGAGUGCAAAGGCAUAAGGGAGCUUGACUGCGAGACCUACAAGUCGAGCAGGGACGAAAGUCGGGCUUAGUGAUCCGGUGGUUCCGCAUGGAAGGGCCAUCGCUCAACGGAUAAAAGCUACCCCGGGGAUAACAGGCUUAUCUCCCCCAAGAGUCCACAUCGACGGGGAGGUUUGGCACCUCGAUGUCGGCUCAUCGCAUCCUGGGGCUGUAGUCGGUCCCAAGGGUUGGGCUGUUCGCCCAUUAAAGCGGUACGCGAGCUGGGUUCAGAACGUCGUGAGACAGUUCGGUCCCUAUCCGUCGUGGGCGUAGGAAAUUUGAGAGGAGCUGUCCUUAGUACGAGAGGACCGGGAUGGACGCACCGCUGGUGUACCAGUUGUUCUGCCAAGGGCAUAGCUGGGUAGCUAUGUGCGGAAGGGAUAAGUGCUGAAAGCAUCUAAGCAUGAAGCCCCCCUCAAGAUGAGAUUUCCCAUAGCGUAAGCUAGUAAGAUCCCUGAAAGAUGAUCAGGUUGAUAGGUUCGAGGUGGAAGCAUGGUGACAUGUGGAGCUGACGAAUACUAAUAGAUCGAGGACUUAACCAUAUAA